UUUUGUAUAAUGGGUCAGCGACUUAUAUUCUGUAGCAAGGUUAACCGAAUAGGGGAGCCGAAGGGAAACCGAGUCUUAACUGGGCGUUAAGUUGCAGGGUAUAGACCCGAAACCCGGUGAUCUAGCCAUGGGCAGGUUGAAGGUUGGGUAACACUAACUGGAGGACCGAACCGACUAAUGUUGAAAAAUUAGCGGAUGACUUGUGGCUGGGGGUGAAAGGCCAAUCAAACCGGGAGAUAGCUGGUUCUCCCCGAAAGCUAUUUAGGUAGCGCCUCGUGAAUUCAUCUUCGGGGGUAGAGCACUGUUUCGGCUAGGGGGUCAUCCCGACUUACCAACCCGAUGCAAACUGCGAAUACCGAAGAAUGUUAUCACGGGAGACACACGGCGGGUGCUAACGUCCGUCGUGAAGAGGGAAACAACCCAGACCGCCAGCUAAGGUCCCAAAGUCAUGGUUAAGUGGGAAACGAUGUGGGAAGGCUCAGACAGCCAGGAUGUUGGCUUAGAAGCAGCCAUCAUUUAAAGAAAGCGUAAUAGCUCACUGGUCGAGUCGGCCUGCGCGGAAGAUGUAACGGGGCUAAACCAUGCACCGAAGCUGCGGCAGCGACACUAUGUGUUGUUGGGUAGGGGAGCGUUCUGUAAGCCUGUGAAGGUGUGCUGUGAGGCAUGCUGGAGGUAUCAGAAGUGCGAAUGCUGACAUAAGUAACGAUAAAGCGGGUGAAAAGCCCGCUCGCCGGAAGACCAAGGGUUCCUGUCCAACGUUAAUCGGGGCAGGGUGAGUCGACCCCUAAGGCGAGGCCGAAAGGCGUAGUCGAUGGGAAACAGGUUAAUAUUCCUGUACUUGGUGUUACUGCGAAGGGGGGACGGAGAAGGCUAUGUUGGCCGGGCGACGGUUGUCCCGGUUUAAGCGUGUAGGUGUGUGUUCCAGGUAAAUCCGGUUCACUUUAACACUGAGGCGUGAUGA
Molecule: ribosomal RNA, 961 nt
Filed under: Citrobacter farmeri
Lineage: Bacteria; Pseudomonadati; Pseudomonadota; Gammaproteobacteria; Enterobacterales; Enterobacteriaceae
Description: partial 23S ribosomal RNA
Rfam family: Bacterial large subunit ribosomal RNA
Source: RNAcentral